RNAcentral lists this transfer RNA (66 nucleotides) under Berghia stephanieae. RNAcentral describes it as "tRNA-Trp". Lineage: Eukaryota; Metazoa; Mollusca; Gastropoda; Nudibranchia; Aeolidiidae. The record is from RNAcentral.
GAAGUUAUAGGUUAAAUGUAUUAAACCUUGGGCCUUCAAAGCCUAAAAUGAUCUACUCUAACUUUG